CCCCAAAUUAUUUCUUGCCCUCCCAGCUUUCAGCUGCCAUAUAUCCGUAUUUGGAGGUGUGCAGCAACAUCGUCGUCUCAUGGUGGGCCAUAAACAGAAGGUGGAACUGAUUCCUAACAAAAUCCAUGUCAUGAAAACUCUCAGCUUGAAACCACUCCUUUUUGGUAAGGAAAAGAGGCUACUGGAGAUAUAUCCAGAUGACCUAUUGGUAGAAGAGGAAAUGAGAUAUACCAUAUAUUAAAGUUUGGCGGUUU
Non-coding RNA from Podarcis muralis (Common wall lizard), 254 nucleotides. The record is from RefSeq and is a predicted model, not a curated record. NCBI's taxonomy places the organism in Eukaryota, Metazoa, Chordata, Lepidosauria, Squamata, Lacertidae.